This 425-nucleotide ribosomal RNA is filed under the name uncultured bacterium. Its description in RNAcentral is "partial 16S ribosomal RNA". It matches the Rfam family "Bacterial small subunit ribosomal RNA", at positions 359 to 775 of the family's 1533-position model. The record is from RNAcentral.
GAAUAUUGGACAAUGGGGGGAACCCUGAUCCAGCCAUGCCGCGUGUGUGAAGAAGGCCUUUUGGUUGUAAAGCACUUUAAGCGAGGAGGAGGCUACCUGGAUUAAUACUUUAGGCUAGUGGACGUUACUCGCAGAAUAAGCACCGGCUAACCCUGUGCCACCAGCCGCGGUAAUACAGAGGGGGCGAGCGUGAAUAGGAUUGACGGGGCGUAAAGCGUGCGUAGGCGGCCAAUUAAGUCAAAUGUGAAAUCCCCGAGCUUAACUUGGGAAUUGCAUUCGAUACUGGUUGGCUAGAGUAUGGGAGAGGAUGGUAGAAUUCCAGGUGUAGCGGUGAAAUGCGUAGAGAUCUGGAGGAAUACCGAUGGCGAAGGCAGCCAUCUGGCCUAAUACUGACGCUGAGGUACGAAAGCAUGGGGAGCAAACAG